AAUCUUACCGGGUCCGGACACACUGAGGAUUGACAGACAGUAUUCAUGCCGACUGAAUUUCGACAUAUUUCAAAUGUGCGAGUUCUUUCAUGAUUGUGUGAUAGGUGGUGCAUGGCCGUUCUUAGUUCGUGGAGUGAUCUGUCUGCUUAAUUGCGUUUCAUAUUUACGAAUGUCGCUUACGUGAUUGCUGCAGACCUCGCUCUCUUUAUUGAG
This 213-nucleotide ribosomal RNA is filed under the name Hastigerina pelagica. Its description in RNAcentral is "partial 18S ribosomal RNA". It matches the Rfam family "Eukaryotic small subunit ribosomal RNA", at positions 1211 to 1384 of the family's 1831-position model. Lineage: Eukaryota; Foraminifera; Rotaliida; Hantkeninidae. The record is from RNAcentral.